Molecule: long non-coding RNA, 253 nt
Filed under: Physcomitrium patens
Lineage: Eukaryota; Viridiplantae; Streptophyta; Bryopsida; Funariales; Funariaceae
Description: long non-coding RNA (PPAT_LNC006159)
Source: RNAcentral
UUUUGGGAAGACUGAGGCAAUCGUUGCUGAAGUCAGUGUUGUAAUAGUGAAUCGGGAUUUUUAAUGAAGCGGGUUUGAUUACUCUUGACUGUUUUGUGAAAUCGAGUUACGUUUGUGAUGAAGAAUUAAAAGGGUGUCUAUAGGAUUGAGUAUGCGGAGUGAAUGAAAUUUAUUGGAUUAAUCUAACGAGACAGUCAGUGGAUACAAGAUCGUGAGUAUAAAGCGGUAUCGAAGAUUAGCAGUUUGGGUUGUU